GCAUGUUUUUAUGUUGUGUAGAAGUUUUAAGCUGAUUCCGAUCAAGUUUGGAUUUUAAAUUUUAAAGUUGCUUUAUAUAUAAGUCUUAAUCAGCUCACUUGGCAUGCUUUGUAGGAAACCCAGCUGCUGUUUUUCACUAAUGAAUUUGACUCCCUUAUCCUAUGCAACUGCUUCUGAUCCCAAAUUUUUAUCCUAUAAAAUGUUUUAGUACUAGUUCAUAUAAAAAAACAUACAUUUACAUAAAUGUUUUAAUUAUUUAGGAAAUAAUGUGUAUGAGCUAUUUACAUGCAUGUAUGUUUUAACGUUUGUCUCAAGACCAUUCACAUUUAUUUACCACCAUGAAUCUUGUUUAAAUAUGCUUCAGGCUCUAUUUCAUGAAACAAGUUGUGUGUCUAAUUGUCUGUAUACCGUGUAGAAUUCUAUAUAGUUUUAACAAAUUAAUUUUAUGUACUAAAUAAAAGAAUAAUUAUAAUUAAUUUUUUGAUCAUUUAUAGCAAUGGAAUGAAAAAUACUUAUGAUAAACCCUAAUUGCCAUGUUAAAUUAUGCAACACAUUUCAUUUUUAUGAUACCUGGACUAUUAGCCCUUGAUUUAAAUCUAUAUUCCUAUGUAUACAUUUAUAACUUUCUCUCAGUUUUCUUUGUAUAUAGGUACACUGCAUUAUAACUGAUGGAAUUGUGUACAGCUAAUGUACAUGUGUAACAUUUCAUUAUAAAUUUGGUUUACUUCUUAGAGCCAAUUCAGAGUACACAUUAAAAGUGCCAUCCAAGUUUGACACUGUGAGUAGUACAAAUGUUCUGCCUACGAUCAGACUUCCGAUGUCCAAGUGAACAUUUCUUAUCUUAUGUAGAGGCAAUUAAAUAUAAUUAAUGCCACAAGCAAAACAAGUAGGAGUGUGCUGAUGAUGAAGAAAAAAGGAAGAAAGUGGGAGAAACGCUUUAUGAAUAAAGAAUGAAGUAAUGAUCAGCUAUCAAAUACCAUGGUGACACCACUUAAAGUGAACUAAUCAAUAUUAUUUCAUCUGCCUCAUUAUUUCAACGGUCUAGUCAGGCCUAGGCCAACUCUAUAUGUUCAUAGUCAGGCUACUACUCUGCAUACUACUCUACUGAUCAGAAACUUGAUUAAUGAACUCUCUACCAAACUCUCCCAGAGUUUUAACAGUGAACUGAUUUCGUAUUGAACAAGCUUAGUACUUACUUUUUUUAUUUUUGGUUUUAUAAAUAGUUUACAUGUUUACUAUAACUGAUACAGAUAUGUCCUUAUAAUGUGAAUUAUUCUUUCAUUUAUAGUGAUCACUUGUAAUGCA
Amphimedon queenslandica is the source of this 1305-nucleotide long non-coding RNA. RefSeq lists it as uncharacterized. NCBI's taxonomy places the organism in Eukaryota, Metazoa, Porifera, Demospongiae, Haplosclerida, Niphatidae. The transcript has 2 exons. The record is from RefSeq and is a predicted model, not a curated record.